GAUGAACGCUGGCGGCGUGCCUAAUACAUGCAAGUCGAGCGAACGGACGAGAAGCUUGCUUCUCUGAUGUUAGCGGCGGACGGGUGAGUAACACGUGGAUAACCUACCUAUAAGACUGGGAUAACUUCGGGAAACCGGAGCUAAUACCGGAUAAUAUUUUGAACCGCAUGGUUCAAAAGUGAAAGACGGUCUUGCUGUCACUUAUAGAUGGAUCCGCGCUGCAUUAGCUAGUUGGUAAGGUAACGGCUUACCGAGGCAACGAUGCAUAGCCGACCUGAGAGGGUGAUCGGCCACACUGGAACUGAGACACGGUCCAGACUCCUACGGGAGGCAGCAGUAGGGAAUCUUCCGCAAUGGGCGAAAGCCUGACGGGGCAACGCCGCGUGAGUGAUGAAGGUCUUCGGAUCGUAAAACUCUGUUAUUAGGGAAGAACAUAUGUGUAAGUAACUGUGCACAUCUUGACGGUACCUAAUCAGAAAGCCACGGCUAACUACGUG
Molecule: ribosomal RNA, 497 nt
Filed under: uncultured bacterium
Lineage: Bacteria
Description: partial 16S ribosomal RNA
Rfam family: Bacterial small subunit ribosomal RNA
Source: RNAcentral